AUUGUAUUCAAGUUACUGUACGUGUACAAGAGAUAUCCAUACAGUAACUUGAAGACAACGU
Molecule: microRNA precursor, 61 nt
Organism: Ictalurus punctatus (channel catfish)
Lineage: Eukaryota; Metazoa; Chordata; Actinopteri; Siluriformes; Ictaluridae
Source: Ensembl